This 253-nucleotide ribosomal RNA is filed under the name uncultured bacterium. Its description in RNAcentral is "partial 16S ribosomal RNA". It matches the Rfam family "Bacterial small subunit ribosomal RNA", at positions 524 to 776 of the family's 1533-position model. The record is from RNAcentral.
GACGAACCGAGCGAACGUUGUUCGGAAUCACUGGGCUUAAAGGGCGCGUAGGCGGGCAUUCAAGUCUGUGGUGAAAUCCUCCAGCUCAAUUGGAGAACUGCCGUGGAUACUGGGUGUCUCGAGGGAGGUAGGGGCGUGCGGAACUAAUGGUGGAGCGGUGAAAUGCGUUGAUAUCAUUAGGAACUCCGGUGGCGAAGGCGGCACGCUGGACCUCUUCUGACGCUGAGGCGCGAAAGCCAGGGGAGCAAACGGG